AACGAAAUAAGCACUGUCUCAAUAAAUAUACAUAUAAACUAUUAUUUAAGUGAAGAAACUUAAAUCAAAUUAAAGGACAAGAAGACCCUAUAGAGCUUUAUUUUACCAUCAUAAAAUAUGAUAAAAAAUUCGGUUGGGGCGACCGUGGGAGUAAUCACCCACAAUCUAAUUAGAUAUAUUUAUCUCUCAAAAGAUCCUUUUCAAAGAUCAAUAGAACAAGCUACCUUAGGGAUAACAGGCUAAUCCUAUUAUAGAGCCCUUAUCAACAAUAGGGA
Molecule: ribosomal RNA, 275 nt
Filed under: Henlea magnaampullacea
Lineage: Eukaryota; Metazoa; Annelida; Clitellata; Enchytraeida; Enchytraeidae
Description: partial large subunit ribosomal RNA
Rfam family: Bacterial large subunit ribosomal RNA
Source: RNAcentral